This 229-nucleotide ribosomal RNA is filed under the name uncultured bacterium. RNAcentral's name for it is "partial 16S ribosomal RNA". It matches the Rfam family "Bacterial small subunit ribosomal RNA", at positions 568 to 796 of the family's 1533-position model. The record is from RNAcentral.
UGCGUAGGCGGAAAAUUUAGUCAGUGGUGAAAUCCCGCAGCUUAACUGUGGAACUGUCAUUGAUACUGGUUUUCUUGAAUUUAGUUGAGGUAGGCGGAAUGUGUAAUGUAGCGGUGAAAUGCUUAGAUAUUACACAGAACACCGAUUGCGAAGGCAGCUUACUAAACUAUGAUUGACGCUGAGGUACGAAAGCGUGGGGAGCGAACAGGAUUAGAUACCCUGGUAGUCC